Molecule: long non-coding RNA, 227 nt
Filed under: Elaeis guineensis (African oil palm)
Lineage: Eukaryota; Viridiplantae; Streptophyta; Magnoliopsida; Arecales; Arecaceae
Description: long non-coding RNA (EGUI_LNC058268)
Source: RNAcentral
AUGGCUUCAAGUUAUUCUAAAAUUUUUACUCCACUUAACUCCUUAGGUGGUAGAUGUCGGUUGGACUUACCAUCAAAGUAUUGGUUAUAACGGAUCCUCCAAGAGUGAUUAGCAGGUAGAAACCACCAAUGACCCAUGAAGCAGAUUUUUCUUCCAUGCUUUAAAUGUAAGGAGGACGUAUCCUUGUUACAUAUUGGACAUGCCAGAUAUCCUUUGGUACUCCACCC